This 72-nucleotide transfer RNA is filed under the name Camelus bactrianus (Bactrian camel). It matches the Rfam family "tRNA". From Rfam's summary of the family: Transfer RNA (tRNA) molecules are approximately 80 nucleotides in length. Lineage: Eukaryota; Metazoa; Chordata; Mammalia; Artiodactyla; Camelidae. RNAcentral also lists the same sequence under 1 other name. The record is from Rfam by way of RNAcentral.
GGAGGUAUAGCUCAGUGGUAGAGCUCAUGCUUAGUACGCACAAGGUCCUGGGUUCAACCCCCAGUAUCUCCA